This 66-nucleotide transfer RNA is filed under the name Nocardioides thalensis. RNAcentral describes it as "tRNA-Arg". The record is from RNAcentral. Lineage: Bacteria; Bacillati; Actinomycetota; Actinomycetes; Propionibacteriales; Nocardioidaceae.
GCGGGCCGGCGACGGUUGGUUAUCACUCCGAAUGAUGGUGUUGCGGGUUCGACUCCCGCCGUGCCA